CCAAUAGCGUAUAUUAAAGUUGUUGCAGUUAAGAAGCUCGUAGUUGAAUUUCGGGAUUAGUGCGCUGGUCAUGCCUUUGGUAUGUACUGGUGUUACUGAUUUCUACCUUCUGAAGAACCGUUAUGUCAUUUAUUUGGUGUGGCGGGGAAUCAGGACUGUUACUUUGAAAAAAUUAGAGUGUUUAAAGCAGGCUCGCGCUUGAAUACAUUAGCAUGGAAUAAUGAAAUAGGACGUUUGACCCUAUUUUGUUGGUUUCUAGGAUCGACGUAAUGAUUAAUAGGGAUAGUUGGGGGCAUUAGUAUUCAAUUGUCAGAGGUGAAAUUCUUGGAUUUAUUGAAGACUAACUACUGCGAAAGCAUUUGCCAAGGAUGUUUUCAUUAAUCAAGAACGAAAGUUAGGGGAUCGAAGACGAUCAGAUACCGUCGUAGUCUUAACCAUAAACUAUGCCGACUAGGGAUCGGAUGAUGUUAUUUUUAAUGACUCAUUCGGCGCCUUACG
This 498-nucleotide ribosomal RNA is filed under the name uncultured Glomeromycotina. RNAcentral describes it as "partial small subunit ribosomal RNA". It matches the Rfam family "Eukaryotic small subunit ribosomal RNA", at positions 591 to 1092 of the family's 1831-position model. The record is from RNAcentral. Lineage: Eukaryota; Fungi; Glomeromycota.